CCCGGCCCGGGGGGGGAAUUCCCAGCAAAGGAGGGGGAAUUCCCAUUCAGAGGGUGUCUGGGAUGCUCCUGUUCCCUUGGGAGCAUCCCAAGGUAAUUCCCAUCUGAGGGUGUCCAGGAUGCCCCAAUUCCCAAGAUAAUUCCUAUCCAAGGGUGUCCGGGAUGCCCUGAUUCCCUUGGGAACAUCCCAAGGUAAUUCCCAUCCCAGGGGGUCCAGGAUACCCCAAUUCCCUUGGGAUCAUCCCGAGGUAAUUCCCAUCCAACAGUGUCCAGGACGCCCCAAUUCCCUUGGGAGCUGCUCCCAAGGUAAUUCCCAUCUGAGGGUGUCCAGGAUGCCCCAAUUCCUGAGGUAAUUCCCAUCCCAAGGGGUCCAAGAUGCCCCAAUUCCCUUGGGAGCAUCCCGAGGUAAUUCCCAUCCCCCAGUUCCCUUGGGAGCAUCCCAAGGUAAUUCCCAUCUAAAGGUGUCUGGGAUGCUCCUGUUCCCUUGGGAGCAUCCCAAGGUAAUUCCCAUCCAAGGGGGUCCAAAAUGUCCCAAUUCCUGAGGUAAUUCCCAUCCCAGGGGGUCCAGGAUGCCCCAAUUCCCUUGGGAGCAUCCCGAGAUAAUUCCCACCUGAGGGGGUCCAAGAUUCCCCGAUUCCCUUGGAAUCAUCCCAAGGUAAUUCCCAUCCCAGGGUGUCCAGGAUGCCCCGAUUCCCUUGGGAUCAUCCCGAGGUAAUUCCCAUCCCAGGGGUUCCAAGAUGCCCCAAUUCCCUUGGGAUCAUCCCGAGGUAAUUCCCAAUCCAAGGUGUCCAGGAUACCCCAAUUCCCUUGGGAGCAUCCCAAGCUAAUUCCCACCCAAGGAGGUCCAAGAUUCCCUGAUUCCCUUGGGAUCAUCCCGAGGUAAUUCCCAUCUGAGGGGGUCCAAAAUGCCCCAAUUCCUGAGGUAAUUCCUAUCCAAGGGUGUCCAGGAUGCCCUGAUUCCCUUGGGAACAUCCCAAGGUAAUUCCCAUCCCAGGGGGUCCAGGAUGCCCCAAUUCCCUUGGGAACAUCCCAUUCCCUUGGGAACAUCCCUUGGGAACAGUUUGUCUAAUCAAGGCCAUCAAUUAGUCCCCGCCUGACUAAUUGCUCGGCUCCGGGGCAGAAUUGGCCUGGAAUUGCUCGGGAAUUGUUCGGGAAUUGCUCGGGAAUUGCUCGGGAAUUGUGGUGCCCUUUCCCCCCCAGGGCCCCACCCAAGGGUUAAAGGGCAGUUUCCUUGGAAUGUUUCCUUGGAAUGUCUCCCAAAGGGAACUGGAGGAGGAGGAGGAGGAGACCCUGGGAAUUUUAACCCUUUCCUGGGUUCCUGCUGGGAAUGGUUUUGGGAAGAGGGGGAAGUGUCCUGGGAUGGGAUCGGCCUUAAAAACGUGGGAAAUAAAUCAAUUUAAAUUGGAAUGUGGGAGCAGGUCCUGGGCUGGGCAGUUUGGCCUUAAAUAGGUGGGAAAAAUGGGAAAUAAAUCAAUUUAAAUUGGAAUGUGGGAGCAGGUCCUGGGAUGGGCAGUUUGGCCUUAAA
Molecule: long non-coding RNA, 1524 nt
Organism: Pseudopipra pipra
Lineage: Eukaryota; Metazoa; Chordata; Aves; Passeriformes; Pipridae
Exons: 2
Source: RefSeq, a predicted model, not a curated record